GUAGCAUGUCCUAUUGAGAACUUCCCAAGCUUCGCCGCUGCCAUGACUCACCGUGUAUUUUCUUCUGGUUCAUUAAUUCAGGAAUUAAACUUAUUGCUUCUUUAGAUAAAGGCCGUGUCAGAGCAUCCCCGUGAGCUUCUUAACAAUUCUUGGUUUUGGUGACUGAUCUAUUCAGAAGCCUGGCUUUGAAUGUGUUGCAAUUGAUGGAAAGAGUUCGAUUGAUUUUUCAGGUGAACUUUGCUUUGGGCCAUUCAUGAAGAAGCAGCAUCACCGCCUGAAGACGUUCCUGGGAAGUGCUUCCUCCACUGAUCUCCCCAGAGCUGAAGAAGCGGGCGGCCUGACCAGGCAGCAGGGCCCUCACGGGGCAGGGGAAAUCCUCGGCCCUCGCCUGGGCCCAGCAGGCAGCUGGAUGUGAACAGUGGCUGCUAUCACAAGUGCAACGCUACCAUUUGCUGCAGAGAUCUCUAAUGAGCCAGGAACGCUGGAAUUUUUCCAGCACGUCGCCCCUGUUGGCUGCCCUCCCAUUUGGUCAUGCUAAACGACUAGGGCCGCCAGUGGUACAUCUGUCUUCCUGGAGUUUCACCAAGGUCUGCAACAAGUGUGUGCACAGGAGUCGAUCCUGCACUUGGCUGUGGAUUUGGGUCAACAUGGGGAGAAAACCAGAUCAGAGAUCUCUUUAGCAAAGCCCCAUCAAGCUGCUGUGGAGCCUGGCAAGCUGUGGUCAGAAGAAUGUCUUACCUUCCUCCUCGCACUGGCAGGGGGCUACACCCUUUCCUGGAAGGCUCCUGCUGUUGCCUGCAGUGAGGCCACUUGUCCUGUGUCAGACCAGGAUGAUCCUCACCCCCAGACAGGAUGGAAGGACCCGAGCGGGGUAGCCCACAGCCAGGAGGUGGCCGUCUGUGUGAAACCAGAGCGUCCCACGCCAGGCAGGAUCAGAAAGCAGGAGGAAGGGCUGGAUCUCUCGAGGUGGAGGAACACGCCGUCUGGUAGCUACAUCCGGACUGCUACGGUUUCAAUCUGCUCCUUUCAAUGAGGCUUUCAUUCCUGGGCUUAGAGAAAGGUUCUUCUCUUCUGCUUUCUUCUCUCUUUUUCAGAGGUAAGUGGGGUAGCUAAGGGGGGAGAACAGACAUCUCAUCUGCAGGGCAGGACAGAGAGCCAGCAGGAGAAAAAAGGGAACAAAACCAAAGCACAGAAAAGUGGCAGCUUUGAGGGCUUUCAAGUACCAUUGUCGGGGAGAGAAAAAAAUG
Molecule: long non-coding RNA, 1247 nt
Organism: Anas platyrhynchos (mallard)
Lineage: Eukaryota; Metazoa; Chordata; Aves; Anseriformes; Anatidae
Source: RefSeq, a predicted model, not a curated record